Molecule: ribosomal RNA, 424 nt
Filed under: uncultured prokaryote
Description: bacterial SSU rRNA
Rfam family: Bacterial small subunit ribosomal RNA
Source: RNAcentral
UGGGGAAUAUUGCACAAUGGGCGAAAGCCUGAUGCAGCAACGCCGCGUGAGCGAAGAAGGCCUUCGGGUCGUAAAGCUCUGUCCUAAGGGAAGAAUAAUGACGGUACCUUAGGAGGAAGCCCCGGCUAACUACGUGCCAGCAGCCGCGGUAAUACGUAGGGGGCGAGCGUUAUCCGGAAUCACUGGGCGUAAAGGGUGCGUAGGCGGCCAAAUAAGCCAGGGGUGAAAGGCUACGGCUCAACCGUAGUAAGCCUUUGGAACUGUAUGGCUUGAGUGCAGGAGAGGAGAGUGGAAUUCCUAGUGUAGCGGUGAAAUGCGUAGAUAUUAGGAGGAACACCAGUGGCGAAGGCGACUCUCUGGACUGCAACUGACGCUGAGGCACGAAAGCGUGGGGAGCGAACAGGAUUAGAUACCCCCGUAGUCC